AGCUGGAAUCGCUAGUAAUCGCGAAUCAGAAUGUCGCGGUGAAUACGUUCCCGGGUCUUGUACACACCGCCCGUCACACCAUGGGAGUCAACAACGCCCGAAGUCAGUGACCCAACCUUAUAGGAGGGAGCUGCCGAAGGCGGGGUGGAUAACUGGGGUGAAGUCGUAACAAGGUAGCCGUAUCGGAAGGUGCGGCUGGAUCACCUCCUUU
RNAcentral lists this non-coding RNA (211 nucleotides) under Lachnoclostridium sp. An14. Its description in RNAcentral is "Bacterial small subunit ribosomal RNA". It matches the Rfam family "Bacterial small subunit ribosomal RNA", at positions 1324 to 1533 of the family's 1533-position model. The record is from Rfam by way of RNAcentral. Lineage: Bacteria; Bacillati; Bacillota; Clostridia; Lachnospirales; Lachnospiraceae.